This 1189-nucleotide unclassified non-coding RNA is filed under the name Acanthaster planci (crown-of-thorns starfish). RNAcentral describes it as "serine/threonine-protein kinase Nek9-like, transcript variant X2". The record is from RNAcentral. Lineage: Eukaryota; Metazoa; Echinodermata; Asteroidea; Valvatida; Acanthasteridae.
AGUGUGCAGGCUUGAUAUGGAUAAUUUCAGUUGCCAGAAGUCGCGUAAUUAUUAAUUGUCUGUGUACAACGGCUCGGAUGCAGAGAUGGAAGACUCGCCGAGCAUGUUGAGUGGAUCGAAUUCUAAUGCAAAUUCACUGGCUGAAUCUGCCCACGUUGGACAGGAAGAACGUUACAAUCAUGUCAGAGUGCUAGGAAAGGGGGCAUUCGGUGAAGCGGUUCUUUAUAGUAAAACUGAGGAUAACUCCUUGGUUGUCUGGAAAGAGAUCAACUUGGCACAGGCAACAGAGAAGACGAAACGAGAUGCUCAGAAUGAGAUUGAUAUUCUGUCUCUGCUGAAUCAUGCCAAUAUCAUCACAUACUAUAAUCACUUUGUGGAUGAAAGCUCCUUGUUUAUCGAGAUGGAGUAUGCAAAUGGUGGAACUCUCUAUGAGAAGAUCGUUCACCAAGGUGAACAGCUGUUUAGUGAAGAGAUUUUAUGAAAAGUCCAAAAUUGCUCAGGCUGAAAGAUGUCUACAGGGCACAGCUGAGGUUGAAAGACCACCAUCAGAGCCACCACGCAAAUCACAAAGAUUGCUCACUCACCAGGGCAUACGGAAACUGCAAAUUGAACAUGUUCUUCCUGCAAGAUGCUUCUUCUUCUGCAUACAUAUGCUUCAUAUGUAAAAGGGAGAAAUGGAUCAAGGAUGCAGCAACUUGCAAAUUGGUCAAGGAACGUUUAAUGUGAUGGGCUGCUUCUGAAGACAGUGAAAAGAAAACAUAGUGAAGGCAUCUUGGUUUAUAUUUAAGGAAAAAGACCUUGAAGUGAAAUUAAUGAACCAUGGUUCCUGCUACAAAGCAUACACCCGUGAAGAACCUCAACAUGAACCUUCGUGUCAAGAUGCAAACAAGAUGCAAACAAACAUCAAACAAGACGACAUGUACCGUGUUUCAUUGAGAUGCCUUUGCAAGAAGGCUGACUUGUCAUGCACUGAACUUUGCAAAUGACCGUUGACUUUCGUAAUGUUGUAAUUGUAAUUGUUGGUAUCCAACCAAUAGCAGAGAUUCGACAUGUUAAAUCCUUAAAAUGAAGUCGUUGAUCAGUUGAAACAUGACUGGAUUGUACAGUGUGCGGUAGGGCUUAACCCCUUGAUGACGGGAAUUUCUUCCGGAAAGCCGACUCCAAGAAUUUCAGCCUCACUUGGCCACGA